RNAcentral lists this transfer RNA (73 nucleotides) under Chloroflexota bacterium. RNAcentral's name for it is "Chloroflexi bacterium tRNA-Val". It matches the Rfam family "tRNA". Rfam says of the family: Transfer RNA (tRNA) molecules are approximately 80 nucleotides in length. Their secondary structure includes four short double-helical elements and three loops (D, anti-codon, and T loops). Lineage: Bacteria; Bacillati; Chloroflexota. RNAcentral also lists the same sequence under 2 other names. The record is from RNAcentral.
GGGCGGUUAGCUCAGUUGGUAGAGCGUCUGCUUUACACGCAGAAUGUCGGGAGUUCGAGCCUCUCACCGCCCA